AGUGAACGCUGGCGGCAGGCUUAACACAUGCAAGUCGAACGGCAGCACAGUAAGAGCUUGCUCGAACGGGUGGCGAGUGGCGGACGGGUGCGGAAUACAUCGGAAUCUACUUUUUCGUGGGGGAUAACGAAGGGAAACUUACGCUAAUACCGCAUACGACCUACGGGUGAAAGCAGGGGAUCUUCGGACCUUGCGCGAUUGAAUGAGCCGAUGUCGGAUUAGCUAGUUGGCGGGGUAAAGGCCCACCAAGCAGACGCACCGUAGCUGGUCUGGGAGAUUGAUCAGCCACACUGGGACUGGAACACGGUCCAGACUCCUACGGGAGGCAGCAGUGGGGAAUAUUGGACAAUAGGCGCAAGCCUGAUCCAGCCAUACCGCGUGGGUGAAGAAGGCCUUCGGGUUUUGAAGCCCUUUUGUUGGGAAAGAAAAGCAGCAGGUUAAUACCCCGCUGUUCUGACGGUACCCAGAGAAUAAGCACCGGCUAACUUCGUG
This 492-nucleotide ribosomal RNA is filed under the name uncultured bacterium. RNAcentral describes it as "partial 16S ribosomal RNA". It matches the Rfam family "Bacterial small subunit ribosomal RNA", at positions 29 to 507 of the family's 1533-position model. The record is from RNAcentral.